Molecule: small nuclear RNA, 160 nt
Filed under: Mus caroli (Ryukyu mouse)
Lineage: Eukaryota; Metazoa; Chordata; Mammalia; Rodentia; Muridae
Description: predicted gene, 23796 (MGP_CAROLIEiJ_G0035194.1)
Rfam family: U1 spliceosomal RNA
About the family: U1 is a small nuclear RNA (snRNA) component of the spliceosome (involved in pre-mRNA splicing). Its 5' end forms complementary base pairs with the 5' splice junction, thus defining the 5' donor site of an intron.
Source: RNAcentral
UUUUUUACUUGACAGUGGAGAUACCAUGAUCAUGAAGGUGGUUUGCUCAUGGCAAGGCUUAUCCACUGUACUAUAGUUUGCUUACCUCUGUGAUUCCGCAAAUUCUGGAAAACCAACUGGAUAACUUUUGGUAGCAGGGAACUGUGUUCACAUUCUCUCC